UACGGGGGGGGCAAGCGUUGUUCGGAAUUACUGGGCGUAAAGGGUUUGUAGGUGGCUUGCUAAGUCAGACGUGAAAUCCCUCAGCUUAACUGGGGAACUGCGUCUGAGACUGGUGAGCUUGAGUGCAGGAGAGGAACGCGGAAUUCCAGGUGUAGCGGUGAAAUGCGUAGAUAUCUGGAGGAACACCGGUGGCGAAGGCGACGUUCUGGACUGUAACUGACACUGAGGAACGAAAGCCAGGGGAGCAAACGGG
This 253-nucleotide ribosomal RNA is filed under the name uncultured bacterium. RNAcentral describes it as "partial 16S ribosomal RNA". It matches the Rfam family "Bacterial small subunit ribosomal RNA", at positions 524 to 776 of the family's 1533-position model. The record is from RNAcentral.